Molecule: long non-coding RNA, 897 nt
Filed under: Ananas comosus (pineapple)
Lineage: Eukaryota; Viridiplantae; Streptophyta; Magnoliopsida; Poales; Bromeliaceae
Description: long non-coding RNA (ACOM_LNC024262)
Source: RNAcentral
UAGCUCAUAAUGCAUGCUUUUUCACAAUCACUUUGGCUUUUACCCAAUCUUACCGGUUAACACUUGUUAACCCCAAUAACUCACAACCCAAAAUUCCUUAAUAGUGGGGGACUCGAACCACCCUAGGGACCGUCCUUUGGGGGGACUUUACCACGCUCAGUGGUGACCAACUCCGGAGUGCACCGCCCGAGGGGGAGCUACCUCCCUCAAGUCAAGACUUAUCGUAAGUAUCGAUCUAAUCCUCAACUUGAGGAUUCAUAGCCACUUGUCACAAUGCCAUUGUCAUAAUAGGUUUCUACCUAUUUAUUCUUGCCACUUUCUAAGUCAUACAUGUCUCAAUGCCACUCUUGGUUAAACUAUGUUUAACAACUAUAUUCUCUAUGCCAAUCAAUGUCUGUAUUGUCAAUGUCACCUUCAUUUACUAAUGUCCAAGUCCAACUCUCACAUUCACACAAUAAUAGGGUCCUAACAUACAUGUCCAUUAUAGUUCUACCAUUCUCUAUGUUCAAUUACGUUAGAAACAUGUCAUUGAAAGCAACCAAGGUUCAUAUGUACUUAGCCCUACCAUGCAUGAAUGAUACAAAAUAUAUAUGCUCAAAUGCGAUAAGUGUUUCCGAUACACUAAUCAUAUGCCACUCGAUCUAUUUGACAUCCUAAUUGUCCACAUCGAGUAUCAUAGUUCAUAUGUCCUUGUUCUCUAAUGUCGGGUUCUCUAAUUUACCUAGAGUUUAUCGACCCCAAGUUUAACAUGUAAAUGUCAAUUAAUAUAAUCCUCUACAUGUCAACAUGCAUUGUUCAUCAAUCACAUGCAAUAUGUCAUCAUGCACAUAUACCACUAGCAUCAUAUGAUAUGUCAAUAUACAUAUAAUCAUUAUCCAAAGUAGUUCAUACUUAGCA